This 788-nucleotide ribosomal RNA is filed under the name uncultured Bacteroidota/Chlorobiota group bacterium. RNAcentral describes it as "bacterial SSU rRNA". It matches the Rfam family "Bacterial small subunit ribosomal RNA", at positions 10 to 796 of the family's 1533-position model. Lineage: Bacteria; Pseudomonadati. The record is from RNAcentral.
AGUUUGAUCCUGGCUCAGGAUGAACGCUAGCGGCAGGCCUAACACAUGCAAGUCGAGGGGCAGCGGGGUAGCAAUACUGCCGGCGACCGGCGCACGGGUGCGUAACGCGUAUGCAACCUACCUUUAACAGGGAGAUAGCCCCGAGAAAUCGGGAUUAAUACCCCAUAGUAUUUUAGAUUGGCAUCAAUUUAGAAUUAAAGCUCCGGCGGUUAAAGAUGGGCAUGCGUGACAUUAGUUAGUUGGUGAGGUAACGGCUCACCAAGACAUCGAUGUCUAGGGGUUCUGAGAGGAUGAUCCCCCACACUGGUACUGAGACACGGGCCAGACUCCUACGGGAGGCAGCAGUGAGGAAUAUUGGUCAAUGGGCGGAAGCCUGAACCAGCCAUGCCGCGUGCAGGAUACGGCUCUAUGAGUCUUAAACUGCUUUUAAUUGAGAAGAAUAUUAGAUAUGUAUAUUUAAUUGACGGUAUCAGUUGAAUAAGCAACGGCUAACUCCGUGCCAGCAGCCGCGGUAAUACGGAGGUUGCAAGCGUUAUCCGGAUUUAUUAGGUUUAAAGGGUGCGUAGGCUGGCAAUUAAGUCAGUGGUGAAAAUUUUUGGCUCAACCAAAGACCUGCCAUUGAUACUGAUAGUCUUGAAUUUAGUUGAGGUAGGCGGAAUGUGUAGUGUAGCGGUGAAAUGCUUAGAUAUUACAUGGAAUACCAAUUGCGAAGGCAGGUUACUAACAAGUUAUUGACGCUGAUGGAUGAAAGCGUGGGGAGCGAACAGGAUUAGAUACCCUGGUAGUCC